UUGAACGCUGGCGGAAUGCUUUACACAUGCAAGUCGAGCGGCAGCGCGGGGGCAACCCUGGCGGCGAGCGGCGAACGGGUGAGUAAUACAUCGGAACGUACCCAGUUGUGGGGGAUAGCCCGGCGAAAGCCGGAUUAAUACCGCAUAAGUCCUGAGGGAGAAAGCGGGGGACCGUAAGGCCUCGCGCGAUUGGAGCGGCCGAUGUUCGAUUAGCUAGUUGGUGGGGUAAAGGCCUACCAAGGCGACGAUCGAUAGCUGGUCUGAGAGGACGACCAGCCACACUGGGACUGAGACACGGCCCAGACUCCUACGGGAGGCAGCAGUGGGGAAUUUUGGACAAUGGGCGAAAGCCUGAUCCAGCCAUGCCGCGUGCAGGAUGAAGGCCUUCGGGUUGUAAACUGCUUUUGUACGGAACGAAAAAGUCUUCUCUAAUACAGGGGGCGAAUGACGGUACCGUAAGAAUAAGCACCGGCUAACUACGU
This 482-nucleotide ribosomal RNA is filed under the name uncultured bacterium. Its description in RNAcentral is "bacterial SSU rRNA". It matches the Rfam family "Bacterial small subunit ribosomal RNA", at positions 29 to 506 of the family's 1533-position model. The record is from RNAcentral.